UAACCUCUGGCGAGAAUCGUGAAUGUUA
This 28-nucleotide non-coding RNA is filed under the name unclassified sequences. RNAcentral's name for it is "L19-Flavobacteria ribosomal protein leader". It matches the Rfam family "L19-Flavobacteria ribosomal protein leader". The record is from RNAcentral.